This is a small nucleolar RNA of Homarus americanus (American lobster), 68 nucleotides long. Lineage: Eukaryota; Metazoa; Arthropoda; Malacostraca; Decapoda; Nephropidae. The record is from RefSeq and is a predicted model, not a curated record.
AACAAUGAAUGAUGAUAUUUUACCGUCCCAGUCUGAUGGUUGUGAAGGAUUGGUUAUUCUGAAUUGUU